RNAcentral lists this ribosomal RNA (437 nucleotides) under uncultured bacterium. RNAcentral's name for it is "bacterial SSU rRNA". It matches the Rfam family "Bacterial small subunit ribosomal RNA", at positions 29 to 507 of the family's 1533-position model. The record is from RNAcentral.
AGCGAACGCUGGCGGCAGGCUUAACACAUGCAAGUCGAACGGGCGUAGCAAUACGUCAGUGGCAGACGGGUGAGUAACGCGUGGGAACGUACCUUUUGGUUCGGAACAACACAGGGGAAACUUGUGCUAAUACCGGAUAAGCCCUUACGGGGAAAGAUUUUAUCGCCGAAAAGAUCGGCCCGCGUCUGAUUAGCUAGUUGGUGAGGUAACGGCUCACCAAGGCGACGAUCAGUAGCUGGUCUGAGAGGAUGAUCAGCCACAUUGGGACUGAGACACGGCCCAAACUCCUACGGGAGGCAGCAGUGGGGAAUAUUGGACAAUGGGCGCAAGCCUGAUCCAGCCAUGCCGCGUGAGUGAUGAAGGCCCUAGGGUUGUAAAGCUCUUUUGUGCGGGAAGAUAAUGACGGUACCGCAAGAAUAAGCCCCGGUAACUUCGUG